Molecule: long non-coding RNA, 650 nt
Filed under: Androctonus crassicauda
Lineage: Eukaryota; Metazoa; Arthropoda; Arachnida; Scorpiones; Buthidae
Source: RNAcentral
CUAUACUCUGGUGUUAAUACCUGCCUAGUCCUAUGACCCUAUACAAUAUAAACUUGCAGCUUUUUGAUCCUUGUUUACUAGAGUGCACACGCAUAUCACAAAAUGGCAGGAUAAGAUACAAGAACUAGGGUUCAUUUAUAACAUAGGACAGAAAUAUGGCUUUACUAUUAAACAGAUGCAGGUGAUAUGGUUUAAGGUUUCUAAGGACUUAACCAGUACGACGGUAGGCUGUGCAUGCCCUAGACGUAAUGCUGAUACAUGUCCCUUUGCUGAAAUCACUGAUAGAGUUCUAACUAAGAAUAUGAAUGAAGGGAGAUAUCGGAUGGCUCACAGGAGAGGACCUACUGUGUUUAAUGUGUUGCAAAACAAAAAGAUCGUAUCCCAGAAAAUAGAAGGACCGGGUUGUAUUCUAUUCCCCUUUAUAAUAAUGAUGAAGAUGUGAAACAGUGCUAUAUUGGGAGUACCUCUAGGAGCCUGGAAAAAAGGAUACGGGAGCACAGAGCAGAUAUAGCUGCGGGUAGAUUAAAUACUGCCUUGUCAACAAGGGCCUAUGAACAAGAUUUAGUAAUAAACUGGGUACUCUAAUAAGACAUGUCAAUGGCUCUAGAGGCCUUACUACCUUUGAAGCUAUUGAUUUAGAAAGAAUGGCA